This 5071-nucleotide long non-coding RNA is filed under the name Homo sapiens (human). RNAcentral's name for it is "non-protein coding LINC01336:9". The record is from RNAcentral. Lineage: Eukaryota; Metazoa; Chordata; Mammalia; Primates; Hominidae.
AACUUUGUCCGAAGCGCGGCCCGGGGACUGGGAGCGCAGGGCAGGGAGCUCCCUCUGCGGGAGCGCGGAGGCGCUCCUACUUUCUCCGCACGUCACGGGGGCCGCUCAGCGCUCUCCCACCCCGGGCCGGGCGAGAGCGGCUCCCCAGCAGGGCGACGGAGGAGCGCGGCGAGAGCGAGCCGCCGCGGAGAGCCUGGGAACCCAGAGCGCAACCCUCGGCCCCCGCCGGGGCGGCCUCCGCAGCCGCACGGACCCCGCGUUCGGGGCUGGCCCGCUCCCUCUCAAUGAAGAUAUUCAAAUGUUAUUUUAAACAUACCCUACAGCAGAAAGUUUUCAUCCUGUUUUUAACCCUAUGGCUGCUCUCUUUGUUAAAGCUUCUAAAUGUGAGACGACUCUUUCCGCAAAAAGACAUUUACUUGGUUGAGUACUCCCUAAGUACCUCGCCUUUUGUAAGAAACAGAUACACUCAUGUUAAGGAUGAAGUCAGGUAUGAAGUUAACUGUUCGGGUAUCUAUGAACAGGAGCCUUUGGAAAUUGGAAAGAGUCUGGAAAUAAGAAGAAGGGACAUCAUUGACUUGGAGGAUGAUGAUGUUGUGGCAAUGACCAGUGAUUGUGACAUUUAUCAGACUCUAAGAGGUUAUGCUCAAAAGCUUGUCUCAAAGGAGGAGAAAAGCUUCCCAAUAGCCUAUUCUUUGGUUGUCCACAAAGAUGCAAUUAUGGUUGAAAGGCUUAUCCAUGCUAUAUACAACCAGCACAAUAUUUACUGCAUCCAUUAUGAUCGUAAGGCACCUGAUACCUUCAAAGUUGCCAUGAACAAUUUAGCUAAGUGCUUCUCCAAUAUUUUCAUUGCUUCCAAAUUAGAGGCUGUGGAAUAUGCCCACAUUUCCAGACUCCAGGCUGAUUUAAAUUGCUUGUCGGACCUUCUGAAGUCUUCAAUCCAGUGGAAAUAUGUUAUCAACUUGUGUGGGCAAGAUUUUCCCCUGAAGUCAAAUUUUGAAUUGGUGUCAGAGUUGAAAAAACUCAAUGGAGCAAAUAUGUUGGAGACGGUGAAACCCCCAAACAGUAAAUUGGAAAGAUUCACUUACCAUCAUGAACUUAGACGGGUGCCUUAUGAAUAUGUGAAGCUACCAAUAAGGACAAACAUCUCCAAGGAAGCACCCCCCCAUAACAUUCAGAUAUUUGUUGGCAGUGCUUAUUUUGUUUUAAGUCAAGCAUUUGUUAAAUAUAUUUUCAACAACUCCAUCGUUCAAGACUUUUUUGCCUGGUCUAAAGACACAUACUCUCCUGAUGAGCACUUUUGGGCUACCUUGAUUCGGGUUCCAGGAAUACCUGGGGAGAUUUCCAGAUCAGCCCAGGAUGUGUCUGAUCUGCAGAGUAAGACUCGCCUUGUCAAGUGGAAUUACUAUGAAGGCUUUUUCUAUCCCAGUUGUACUGGAUCUCACCUUCGAAGCGUGUGUAUUUAUGGAGCUGCAGAAUUAAGGUGGCUUAUCAAAGAUGGACAUUGGUUUGCUAAUAAAUUUGAUUCUAAGGUGGACCCUAUCUUGAUUAAAUGCUUGGCAGAAAAGCUUGAAGAACAGCAGAGAGACUGGAUCACUUUGCCCUCAGAAAAGUUAUUUAUGGAUAGAAAUCUCACUACCACAUCAUGAUAGUAAAAUCAGGAUGGAAAUAAGAGGGUGCCUGAUAAAUGGAGUCAGUGUGGAAUUGAAUACCAUACUAUGCCCAAUACUGUUUAAACUCAGUCCUCCCAUAUUUUAAAAGGUGUCCAAAAUUCCAUACACAAGGGAAAGUGAUCUAGCCUUUGAUGUUAUUAGCCUGCAGUUGGCUAGGUUUUUUUAAUAUUUGUUUUUGCUUGUAAUCUCACUGAGCCAAAUCAGAGAUCUUAAACAUUCAGUCAGUCAUCAAACAUUAUUGAGCACCUAACUAUAUGACAGGCACUUUUUUAGAGACUGCGGCUUAUCCUCAUCAUAGCAACCUCGGUAUCUUUAAGUUCUCCACAUAACAGUCAGGAUUCUACUGAAGAAGCUUUUGAAGUUUGUGGUAAUCGUCUGAUCAUAUAAACCACCCAUUUCAGAGUAGUGUUUAAGUACUGUGACCAACACUCCACUUGUCUCUUAACUCAGCUUUCAAGACAUUUCUUAACCAUCAGAGCAGAGGAGGAAAGACUCACUACCUCAGAAAAAUCUCAAAGAAUAGUCCAAUUUCCUGCUUGCCAAAGCAUAAUCUGCCUUUUGGUGCAUUACUUGGUCAAUUCAGGGUUGAGGAGACUGUUGGGGGGCAUUUAUAAUGUAUGAAAGUUAAGGAAGGGGGUGAGGAUGUGGGUUGGGACAGGUAGUACCUAAAGAGGAGCGAAGGGAUUUAUACAACAUUUUUAUCAUGUUACAAAACAGUAUCAUGAAUGGCCUCCUUUUUAGUUCAACUGUUUCUUUAAAAUGCAUUUACUGAUUAAAAAUAAGAACUGACCAAUAGCUCCAAGUGUCACACACCAGAACAUUAAGCCUAAGUCCUCAAUUCAUAAGUUAUCAUUCUAGAUAAGUUUCUUUACAAUGGAAUACUUUCUGUGGAAUCAUUAUAAUUCUGUUGUAUGGAACUAUCAAGCUAAGAGUCACUAAACUUUCUUCAAAAGGUUGUGUGAAAUAUGACAGCUUUCUAAAUUAAUUUGUAUAGUCAUUUAAAAUUUUUUCUUCUCUGGCAACUGUCCAACUGGAAUCCAGAUUUAAAGUGAUAAAAGCUCUAAGUUUCUUGCAGUCUUUUUCUCAGCUUAGUUCCAGAGAGAAAAAAGCUAAUUUUCCUAAGGACACAGCAAGAAUAUUCAUUAAGGAUAUUUUCUAAAACCCACACUUGAGAAAACCACCCAAUGAGUCAAAAAUAUAUAUAUAUAAUAUAUAUUUUAUAUAUAUGUAAUAUAUAUUUAUGUUAUAUAUUAUAUAUAGAACAAUUCCAUUACAUAUAUAAUAUAUAAAUAUAUAUAUUAUAUAUACAUAUAUUGUAUAUGAAUAUAUAUUAUAUAUACAUAUAAUUAUAUAUAUAUAAAUAUAUAUUAUAUAACAUAUAAUGAAUAUAUAUUAUAUAUAUAAUGGAAUUGUUCUGGAAGUAAAAUGGGGUAGGAAUGGGGUUCUGAGAAUAGGCAAUAACAUUUUCACCAGUCUCUUGGGAAAUUGUAGAACUCAUGUAAAAAUUUCUUGGUCAUGAUAUGUCUCAAUGGCAGCCUCAGUAAAUAAAAAUGUAGCCUCAGAUAUUAUAUUUAAAGAUGUAGUAAAUCUAGCCCAAAAUAGGACAAUUUGGAAGAUUUAAGUAUUACAUAUUUUUUAAAUGUCUGUGUUCUAAAUGUGAAAUGCACUUUGCUCAUUUUAAAGUUCAUAAUACUAACUGCCAACUGACACCACUUCUCGCUCCCUUUCUUCUCUUGAACUCAUUUUUCUCCCUUUUUAUUUACCCCCUUCAAAUUACUUCAUUCUUUGGAAAUAACUAUUACCAAGCCCCAUUCUUCAAAAUAAGUAAACAUUGUAUAGAGCCAAGUUCUGCAAAAGAUCCAUACCAGUUCACUCGUGUGCGACUGUGGACAGGUAAGUCACUUUGGUCUCUAUGAACCUCAGUUUUCCAGAUCUUUGAAAUGAGCACUUGGAUGCCUAUCCUUGCUUCCACACAAGUGUUUUUUUUUUUUUUUUUUUUUUUUUGUGAGAAUCGAUUGAAAUAGUAUAUGAAGUGGUUUGAAAAUAGGUACAAACUAUUGACAUUUCAAUGUCAGAGAGUGAUACCUGUAGUAGUAUAGGCAAAGGUCCAACCCCAUCGAAAGGCUUAAACAUUUACCUUUUCUGAAAAACUAUUGAAAUAUAAAGAGAGUCCCCAGUCACAGGGGCAACUUCUGUAACCAAAUCCAGAUCUGAGGAAACUCCUGUAACCCCAUUUGGGGUUUCUUUCUAAGCCAAUAGGGUUACAGGUUGGUACAGUGACACAUUGAGAAUGGGGCUACAAAUACUUUUCCCACCAUCUAGGAUGAAAUACACGAAAUCCUGUUGAAAUCUUGGUUUUUAUGCCUUUGCUCAUCAGAAUAAACGUAAAUGCUGAAAAACAAAUAACCUCCUGAUCCACUGUCUUGCCUCCUGGUGAGAAAUGAUUCUAUCCCCUGUUUAUUGGGAAAUUUCCAAAGUUGUUCAUCACUUAAAUGCCGUAUUCAAAGGGAACAUGGAAGGAUGAAGCGGAGAAAGUGCCUUCGAGACAUUCACACAUUUCUCUGGACUCAGUCUGUUAACAUAUCAGGGAGCUUGUCAGAUCACACCUUUUUGCCUUGGAAAUCCUACAGAUUUCCUGUACGCCUUCAUAUCUGAUUCUUCCCUAAAACCUUUGGGUAUGAUUUCCUCCCUGGUCUUGAUAAUGUCCUGCAGUCUGUGUUUUAUAAUUAUUCUUUGUAUUUAUUGAAUCUAGACUUUAAGUUAUUCAGAGAUCAGACCAGAACCUUAGAGUUUCUAAACUGUAUGUGGAUAUUAAAUAAUAUUAAUAAUGAAAGAGCUACCAAAAUAGUCUAUAUUGUGUGAACAAUCUCUUGGGAUAUUAGACGUGUUUAAAGACCAGUGUUGCUGCUAUUUUUAAUAUUUUGGUUAAUUUAAGUGAAAUGUACAUAUUUUAAUUUGAAGAUUUAUCUUGCCCAUCAGAAUGUGAAGAUAUACUUGCAUAUAUUUUGACAUAUUUCAUGGAAAAUAAAAAUGAUAAUCCACUUUGUGAGUGUAAGUGAAUGUAUUCAUAUGUAUGUUAUUAUAAAUGAUUUUUGUUUGCACUGAUGAUGAAAUGAGAGUUUUGGGGGCUUUUUAUACAUUUAUAUCGACUGGUCUCUAAAUCUCCUAUUUUGUUUUCUUAUCAUUUUUGAAAUACAGUUCCCAUUACAUGAGUUUUAAAUAGAUUGGUGUUUCAUUUUGUAUUAUGCUACUACUAGAUGUUGAUUCUCUGGUAUUGUAAAAUAAAAUGUGCUCCAAAAACCCAAACCCUUGGACUUUAUGAGCUUUCCUUUCUCUGGUUUUGCUGAUUCCCCACAAAGAUUCUUUCAGUUUAUGGCACUUGCCCCUUAUUUAAAGAGCAG